This 905-nucleotide long non-coding RNA is filed under the name Coturnix japonica (Japanese quail). RNAcentral describes it as "lncRNA (ENSCJPG00005006358.1)". Lineage: Eukaryota; Metazoa; Chordata; Aves; Galliformes; Phasianidae. The record is from RNAcentral.
GGUCUCACUAUGGGGCUGAUUGGGGGUCAUUAAUUCCAUCCCCCCCCACUCCCCAGAGACCCUUUAAUUAUAGGUCUGUAAUUAGGGCCCUCAUCCCCAAAGGGUCUUUAAUUACGAGGGGUUAAUUAGGGGUCCCAGAGCCAUUAAGUGUGUGUGUGGGGCUGGACAAUUAAGGGGGGGGGUCCCAGUUAUGGGGCUGAUUUGGGGUCAUUAAUUCCCCCCCCCCCAAUAUCUGCAGGUGCCCAUUAACCUCCUUGGGGAACUGGUGUGAGCCCACCCCAAUUAACAGAGCUUAAUUAAACGACUUCGUUAAUGCUGUCUCUAUGGGUCCCUGUGUGUUCGUAUGGGUCUCUCUAUGGGGUCUCUAUGGGAUCUUUAUGGGUCUCUCCAUGGGGUCUCUCUAUGGGGUCUCUAUGGGUCUUUAUGGGGUCUCUCUAUGGGAUCUCUGUGGGGUCUCUAUGGGAUCUCUAUGGGAUCUCCAUGGGGUCUCUCCAUGGGUCUCUCUAUGGGGUCUCUAUGGGGUCUCUAGGUCACUCUAUGGGUCUCUAUGGCAUUUCUCUACUCUAUGGGAAAUUGGAGAAAAUGGGGGAAAUAAUGGGGAAAUUUGAGGAAAUAUGGAGGAAAUGGGGGAAGUAAGAAAGAAAUAUGGGGGAAGUAAGGGGGAAAUGGGGGAAAUAAUGGGGAAAUUGGUGGAAAUAAGGGGAAAUAAUGGGGAAAUAGGUGGAAAUUGGGGGGAAAUGGGGUGAAAAUGAGGAAAUGAAGGGGAAAAUUGGGGGAAUGAGGGGGAAAAAGGGGAAAAUAGGGGAAAUUGAGGGAGGUAAGGAGGAAAAUGGGGGAAAUAAUGGGGAAAUUUGGGGAAAUAAUGGGGAAAUAAAGGGGAAAUAGGGGGAAUAAGGGGGAAAUUU